RNAcentral lists this ribosomal RNA (1234 nucleotides) under metagenome. Its description in RNAcentral is "bacterial LSU rRNA". It matches the Rfam family "Bacterial large subunit ribosomal RNA", at positions 1564 to 2808 of the family's 2925-position model. The record is from RNAcentral.
UGAAUACGAGACGCUAAGGCGUCGAAGUAGUGUAUGUCAUACUACCAAGAAAAGCUUGCACUGUCAUAGAUAAAAAACGCCUGUACCAUAACCGACACAGGUGGGUAGGUAGAGUAUACUAAGGGGCGCGAGAUAACUCUCUCUAAGGAACUCGGCAAAAUAACUCCGUAACUACGGGAGAAGGAGUGCCUUAUUCGUAAGGUUGCAAUAACAAGAUCCAAGCAACUGUUUAUCAAAAACACAGGUCUCCGCUAAGUCGUAAGACGAUGUAUGGGGGCUGACGCCUGCCCAGUGCCAGAAGGUUAAAGAAGUUGGUUAGCAAUUGCGAAGCUGAUAACUGAAGCCCUGGUGAACGGCGGCCGUAACGAUAACGGUCCUAAGGUAGCGAAAUUCCUUGUCGGGUAAGUUCCGACCCGCACGAAAGGCGUAAUGAUUUGGAUACUGUCUCGGAGAGGGGCUCGGUGAAAUAGACUUGUCUGUGAAGAUGCGGACUACCUGCACCAGGACAGAAAGACCCUAUGAAGCUUUACUGUAACUUGAAAUUGAAAUUGGACUUUAUUCGCGCAGCAUAGGUGGGAGGCGUUGAUUAUAAUCUUGCGGGAUUAUUGGAGCCAUCAGUGAGAUACCACUCUUGUAAUGUUAGAUUUCUAACUUUGAAUCAUUAUCUGGUCAAAGAACAGUUUCAGGCGGGCAGUUUGACUGGGGCGGUCGCCUCCUAAACGGUAACGGAGGCGUACAAAGGUUUCCUCUGAACGGUUAGAAAUCGUAUCUAGAGUGUAAAGGCAUAAGGAAGCAUGACUGUGAGACCUACAAGUCGAGCGGGGACGAAAGUCGGUCUUAGUGAUCUGACGGUACUGAGUAGAAAGGCCGUCACUCAACGGAUAAAAGUUACUCUAGGAUAACAGGCUGAUCUCCCCCAAGAGUUCACAUCGACGGGGAGGUUUGGCACCUCGAUGUCGGCUCAUCGCAUCCUGGGGCGGUAGUACGUCCCAAGGGUUGGGCUGUUCGCCCAUGAAAGCGGUACGCGAGCUGGGUUCAGAACGUCGUGAGACAGUUCGGUCCAUAUCCGGUGUAGGCGUUAGAAUAUUGAGAGGAGCCUUCUUUAGUACGAGAGGACCGAGAAGGACAUACCUCUGGUGUACCAGUUAUCGUGCCAACGGUAAACGCUGGGUAGCUAUGUAUGGAGUGGAUAACCGCUGAAAGCAUCUAAGUGGGAAGCCCACCUCAAGAUAAG